GCCGGAUUAAUACCGCAUACGACCUGAGGGUGAAAGCGGGGGAUCUUUCGGACCUCGCGCUAUUGGAGCGGCCGAUGGCAGAUUAGCUAGUUGGUGGGGUAAAGGCCUACCAAGGCGACGAUCUGUAGCUGGUCUGAGAGGACGACCAGCCACACUGGGACUGAGACACGGCCCAGACUCCUACGGGAGGCAGCAGUGGGGAAUUUUGGACAAUGGGCGAAAGCCUGAUCCAGCAAUGCCGCGUGUGUGAUGAAGGCCUUCGGGUUGUAAAGCACUUUUGGCGGGAACGAAAGGGACUGUGCCAAUACCACGGUUCGAUGACG
This 323-nucleotide ribosomal RNA is filed under the name Lautropia mirabilis. RNAcentral's name for it is "bacterial SSU rRNA". It matches the Rfam family "Bacterial small subunit ribosomal RNA", at positions 157 to 474 of the family's 1533-position model. Lineage: Bacteria; Pseudomonadati; Pseudomonadota; Betaproteobacteria; Burkholderiales; Burkholderiaceae. The record is from RNAcentral.